RNAcentral lists this non-coding RNA (32 nucleotides) under Mus musculus (house mouse). The record is from RNAcentral. Lineage: Eukaryota; Metazoa; Chordata; Mammalia; Rodentia; Muridae.
UGAAUGUUGCUGUAAAAUUGACGUCAAGAAGC